Molecule: ribosomal RNA, 253 nt
Filed under: uncultured bacterium
Lineage: Bacteria
Description: partial 16S ribosomal RNA
Rfam family: Bacterial small subunit ribosomal RNA
Source: RNAcentral
UACGGAGGGGGCAAGCGUUAUUCGGAAUUAUUGGGCGUAAAGGGCGCGUAGGCGGCUAGAUGUGUCAAAGGUGAAAUCCCUCGGCUCAACUGAGGAACUGCCUUUGAAACUGUCUGGCUUGAGACCGGGAGAGGUGAGUGGAAUUCCCAGUGUAGCGGUGAAAUGCGUAGAUAUUGGGAGGAACACCAGUGGCGAAGGCGGCUCACUGGACCGGAACUGACGCUGAGGCGCGAAAGCGUGGGGAGCAAACAGG